RNAcentral lists this ribosomal RNA (116 nucleotides) under Lottia gigantea (owl limpet). Lineage: Eukaryota; Metazoa; Mollusca; Gastropoda; Lottiidae. The record is from RNAcentral.
GUCUAUAGGCAUACCAAAUUGAAAGGACCAGUUCUCGUCGGAUCAAUGAAGUUAAGCAACGUCUGGCUCGGUAACUAGGAUGGGUAACCGCCAUGGAACACCAAUUGCUGUAAACU